Molecule: unclassified non-coding RNA, 343 nt
Filed under: plant metagenome
Description: partial contains 5.8S ribosomal RNA, internal transcribed spacer 2, and large subunit ribosomal RNA
Rfam family: 5.8S ribosomal RNA (bases 1-105)
Source: RNAcentral
GAAAUGCGAUAAGUAGUGUGAAUUGCAGAAUUCAGUGAAUCAUCGAAUCUUUGAACGCACAUUGCGCCCCUUGGUAUUCCAUGGGGCAUGCCUGUUCGAGCGUCAUUUGUACCCUCAAGCUCUGCUUGGUGUUGGGUGUUUGUCCCCGUCUCCGCGCGUGGACUCGCCCCAAAGUGAUUGGCAGCCGGCGUACUGGUCCCGGAGCGCAGCGGCUGAUCCCAGGCUCGAGGAGACCCCCGGGCGAUGACCCGUUAGUGUCGAAAUCCCCUACGCGCGGGGUUCAUCCCCCUACGCGUAGCACCGUUGACCUCGGAUCAGGCGGGGUUACCCGCUGAACUUAAGC